CUCACUUAGAGAUGAGUCCGCGUACCAUUAGCUAGUUGGUGGGGUAAUGGCCUACCAAGGCGACGAUGGUUAGCUGGUCUGAGAGGAUGAUCAGCCACACUGGAACUGAGACACGGACCAGACUCCUACGGGAGGCAGCAGUGAGGAAUAUUGGUCAAUGGGCGGAAGCCUGAACCAGCCAUGCCGCGUGCGGGAUGAAGGCCCUACGGGUUGUAAACCGCUUUUCCCCGGGAAGAAUAACCCCGACGCGUCGGGGGAUGCCGGUACCGGGGGAAUAAGGAUCGGCUAACUCCGUGCCAGCAGCCGCGGUAAUACGGAGGAUCCGAGCGUUAUCCGGAUUUACUGGGUUUAAAGGGUGCGUAGGCGGCCCUGCAAGUCAGCGGUGAAAUGUGGCGGCUCAACCGUUUCGCUGCCGCUGAUACUGUGGGGCUUGGAUGCGGUCGAGGCGGGUGGAAUUCGUGGUGUAGCGGUGAAAUGCAUAGAUGUCACGAGGAACGCCGAUAGCGAAGGCAGCUCGCCGGGCCGCGAUCGACGCUGAGGCACGAAAGCGUGGGGAUCAAACAGGAUUAGAUACCCUGGUAGUCCACGCCGUAAACGAUGAUGGCUGGGUGUGCGCCCGCGAGGGCGCGUGCCUGAGGGAAACCAUUAAGCCAUCCACCUGGGGAGUACGGCCGCAAGGCUGAAACUCAAAGGAAUUGACGGGGGCCCGCACAAGCGGAGGAACAUGUGGUUUAAUUCGAUGAUACGCGAGGAACCUUACCUGGGCUCGAACGCUUCUGGAAUCACGCCGAAAGGCGUGAGCCGGCAACGGCCGGGAGCGAGGUGCUGCAUGGUUGUCGUCAGCUCGUGCCGUGAGGUGUCGGGUUAAGUCCCAUAACGAGCGCAACCCCUACCGCCAGUUGCCAGCGGGUGAAGCCGGGGACUCUGGCGGGACUGCCGGCGUAAGCCGAGAGGAAGGCGGGGAUGACGUCAAAUCAGCACGGCCCUUACGUCCAGGGCUACACACGUGUUACAAUGGCCGGUACAGAGGGAGGCGACCCCGCGAGGGGGAGCGGAUCCCGAAAGCCGGUCGUAGUUCGGAUCGGGGUCUGGAACCCGACCCCGUGAAGCCGGAUUCGCUAGUAAUCGCGCAUCAGCCAUGGCGCGGUGAAUACGUUCCCGGGCCUUGUACUCACCGCCCGUCAAG
This 1186-nucleotide ribosomal RNA is filed under the name uncultured bacterium. Its description in RNAcentral is "bacterial SSU rRNA". It matches the Rfam family "Bacterial small subunit ribosomal RNA", at positions 214 to 1401 of the family's 1533-position model. The record is from RNAcentral.